AAUUGUUCACAAUGGGCGCAAGCCUGAUGACGCAACGCCGCGUGGGGGAUGAAGGUCUUCGGAUUGUAAACCCCUGUCGAAUGGGACGAAUGGCCUCUGGGCUAAUCACCGGAGGAAUGACGGUACCGUUAAAGGAAGCCACGGCUAACUCGGUGCCAGCAGCCGCGGUAAUACAGAGGUGGCAAGCGUUGUUCGGAAUUACUGGGCGUAAAGGGCGCGUAGGCGGCCAUCUAAGUCAGACGUGAAAUCCCCCGGCUUAACCUGGGAACUGCGUCCGAUACUGGUUGGCUUGAAUCCGGGAGAGGGAUGUGGAAUUCCAGGUGUAGCGGUGAAAUGCGUAGAUAUCUGGAGGAACACCGGUGGCGAAGGCGACAUCCUGGACCGGCAUUGACGCUGAGGCGCGAAAGCCAGGGGAGCAAAC
This 421-nucleotide ribosomal RNA is filed under the name uncultured bacterium. Its description in RNAcentral is "bacterial SSU rRNA". It matches the Rfam family "Bacterial small subunit ribosomal RNA", at positions 360 to 773 of the family's 1533-position model. The record is from RNAcentral.